Gorilla gorilla gorilla (western lowland gorilla) is the source of this 4229-nucleotide long non-coding RNA. RefSeq lists it as uncharacterized. The record is from RefSeq and is a predicted model, not a curated record. Lineage: Eukaryota; Metazoa; Chordata; Mammalia; Primates; Hominidae. The transcript has 4 exons.
GCUGUGGAAGCUUUGUCCUUGCGGUCUUCACAGUAAACCUUGCUACCACUCACUCUUUGGGUCUGUGCCAUCUUUAAGAGCUGUAACACUCACUGUGAAGGUCCACAGCUUUAUUCUUGAAGUCAGUGAGACCAUGAACCCACGGGCAGGAACUGACUCUGGACACAAUGGCGGCUCCUGGCCAGACCCUCAGAACCUGAGGAAGGGUGAUCAUUUCUGGUCCAGUGUCUUGACUGGCACCAAGUCAAGCAUUGUCCUCCACGUCAUCAGCUGCAGGCCAGAUACUCCAAGAUGAUGCCAAACAGUCACUGCAGAUGAAUUUGCUGCACGGAGCUGUCUGGGAUGCCUCAGACCUGCCAGUGGUAGAGCUGCCUGCCUUGCUUCCUCUUGCUUACUCACAGCUCUAAGUCUGAACUUGGCUGCAGCUGUCCUGAACAGCCCAGGAGGAGCCUAGGCAGGAGGAGGCUUCUCUCCUAUGCAAUUUGGCUGAAUUUUAGUUACUCAAAAGAGCAAAGGAAGCACUUCUGAAUGUUCGUCAGGAGGAGCCAACCACCUUAGCUUGCUCCCUGAUGGGUUUUGUUCAGCCCCUGCCUUACUGUUGUCAGCCUGGACUGUCUUCUGGGCUUGGGUUCACCAUGUGUCUGGACCACGGGGGUGUCUCUAGGUGUCUCCCUUCCUGUGCAUUUCUCCUGGGCAUAGACACCCAUCCUGUGGAACACUGGGAGGAGGGUGCAAGACCCCACUGCACCCAGGGUUGGUUCCCCUUGGGUGCAGCAGCCUCAUCCCCUUGCAAGCCUUCCUCCCACUCCUCCCAGAAGGCUCUGCUUCCUCCACUUGCUCCUCUCCUAGGUGUGAGCCAGCAGGGUUUGGUCACCCAGAUAUGAAGUAUUAAUGUUGGACUCCUGUCUGGAGUCGGGAGUCUAUUAAGGAAGACGUGUGGGAGAGGCCUGUGUUCAAGGCCCUUAGAACCAUUCUGCCUGAGCCAUCAGCUCCUUAAAAAGAAAUCACCAAAUAUCCCAAACAAUGGCAGACUCCCCCUCCCACCCUUUGGGCUACUUGGUAAAUAGGCCCACCAAUUCUAUCUCCAAAAUAUCUCCCAUCAGGACCAUGUGUAUAUUGACAUCUUUAUCUUCCAUCAGGUCAGGGUUGCCACAAAAGCCUCCAUCCAAAUUUCCUGAAAAAGCCCAGUUUCUCUAAAUGUGUGCAUGAACACGGUGCUGGGCAUGGCCCUCUCCUCUCAGUCCUUCUGCGACGCCCAGUGCCUUCACAGCCAAGGCCAGACUUCCUAGUGGAAGAGCAAAGUCCCUCCUGACACGGCUUCUGCUUGCAUCUGCAGCCCCACUUCCCCCACACCACGCUGCACCCCGAGCUCCUCACGGAGAGCCACCGUGUUUCACACCUGCUGUGCUCUGGGCCAGGUCGCUGGGCUUGCUGGUCUUUAGACUUGGAGCACCUGAUGCUGUUUGCCCAUCUGUCUCCUUGUCAGCCUUUGAGAAUUGGAUCUGGCAGCCCCUCCUCAGGAAGCCCAUGAGAGCCUCCGCCCCAUACUCACACAGACCCUGAGCUAGGUGGCCCCUGCCUGUGCCCCUCAGCUCCAAGCCCAGCUUCCAUGCAGCUUUAGCACAGUUUACCAGCACCAUCAAGACCCCUCUGGGAGGACAGAGAGCUCUGGGAGGACAGAGAGCUCUGAAGGACAGAACACGCAUGCCUUUCUGGUUGUUCCUCUGAAGCCUAGCACAACACUGACACGUGAGAAAUACCGGCUGAAUAAAAGGUGGAAGUGAAAAAGAACAACACUGACACGUGAGAAAUACUGGCUGAAUAAAAGGCACUGUGCAUUCCCUGCCCAUGAGGAAGGAAGCAGCUUAUUCCAUUUUCACCCCAGCAGAACCCCUGCAUGCAGGUUUAGGUCAACACUAGCUGCCAGCAGGAUGAAGACCCAGCAGCAUGUGGCACAUGGGAGUCUCGCCGCGGGUCCUUGAUAGAAGAGUAACGAGACUUUUCUUGAAAUAGUGUCCUGAGUUGAGAUCUGAGAAGAACCUGUUAUGCAUCCUAGAACACAGUGCAUUUGCAAGUCAUAAGAUGUUAGCACCGAUUAUGGAGCCUCGUGUGUUCUUAGGGGCUAUUUCCGUGACCUCAUCGGGGGUUCAAUGAGCAGCUUCAACAGAAAACUGGAUUUCCUUUUCCUCCAAGGCUGUCUUAUUUCCAGAUUACUCUGGACCUAAUUUUAAUCGUGCACACCUACCAUGGCAGGCUGUUUUCCUGUCCUCCCAAUGAUCUCCAUACAAUCUCACUGCUGGGUAGCACCUCCAUUGCCUUGCUUACCUAAGCCAUCAAAACCUGCAACAACUCACAAAACCACAAAAAGCAACAGAAAAUAUCAGAAGAUAUUCAAAUGAAUCAAGACCUCCAGAAAACUGUGCAUAAUAUAAUUCAGUUUUUAUUUCAUUUAAUGAUAAUGUCCACAGUUAAUCAGGCAUUCCUUAUCAUUUGGAUCUACAUGUUGAAUAAACACAACAUCCCUAGACCUUUGAGGGUUUUCUAAAUAAUCUGCUGUUGAUUUUCUUAGGUACUGACCAGAUUACUAUGAAUAUUCCUGAUAGAAUAUGCUGACAAGAAACAAACAGGACAAGCCUAAAAUAGAGGCUCUGGUAAACAUUCAGGGAAAAGUUUAUUACUGACAUGUGAGAGCUCGGUGUUCAAGGUUAAUAAAAUAAAGCUGACAGAAGUCGUGAUGCCUCACAUGACUCAGACCCAUUUCUCCUUUCCCUCGUAGCAGAUACCAGUGGGCAGACAAUUCAAUGAACAAUCUUUGAAUUCUGAUUCCUGACUCAGAAAGAGAAACAAACCCCUAGAGCAGAAAACUUGUUCAGUGACAGGAAAUAUUCCAUACAUGUUUGUGUAACACUGGAAUUCUUCUAAUCGCAUGAGGACAUGACAUGACAUGACAUGACAUGACAGCUGGCAUGCUGGGCACUGCAGUGAGUACGACAGGAACAGCCUGCACCAGUCCACGUGCAAAUAAGAAGGAAAUACAACCUUCAUUCUAAGAGGUUCUCCGAGGUCAUGCAGGCAGCUUCUCCCAGGCUGUUUGUGAAAUAUGGGGGGAAGAUGCUCUCGGAGGACCCAAGCAAAGAAGCCUAUUUAUCCUUGUUAUUCAGCAUGAUCUAACGUAUUUGACCACACAUACUCACCUUUUACUUUUCUAAAACUCCUGCUACAUCCUCUGAACUAGAGUUUCAGAGUGCACAGAGUGGGGCUUUUGCUGCACCAUAAGCAACAGCAACUCCUCCAGCUUUGUGCUUUUAAAAUUCUGUCAUGACACCAAAGUUCUCAUUGAGAACUUUAUCUUGUUAAAGUUCUUUAAGAAGCCCCAAGUCCUGAAUUCUUUUUUUCUUUUUAAUUUUUUAAAGACAAACAUUAAAUAUUUGAGGUUUAUUCUUACACAUAGUGACUCUAACCUUGAGAAGUUUAAAUAUGCACACAUGUACAUGCUUUGGUUCGCAUGCACAGGGGCCUGGCAGAUGCAAGCCUCAUGGUAGACAUUGACCAGCAGCAGCUGCUCUGUUCCUCUGGGAGGCGGGUGCCCAGGAUGGCAUGCAAUGCAUUCCCCUGCUCAGUGCCACAAAAGAUCCAGAGGAGCCGACACGGUCCAUCCCACUCCUGUGAUGCUGCAGCUCUGGGGGCGUCACUGGAGAGGUCAAUGUGCUGGUCACGGACUUCCCAAGAUUCCGGCAGAUGACAGCAUGAAAAUUCACUUUCUUUGUGGGUCAUUGAUUAAGGGAUGGGCAUAGGGCCCAAUUCGAUCCCAUGAGUUGCAGGGAGACUCCCCUUGGAGAUUUUUCUCUGGACGGAUUUAUGGCUUCAGUUGGGUUCCCUGGAAAUGAUUUAUGAGGGUGUUUUCUUAGGAACAACAACCAUAAGUCAGGAAAGCAGGAUUGGGCAGAGGCAGUUCAGAUGGAAUGUGGUCUCCACAAGGACCUCCGUUCCCCCAAAGGCAGCAGUGGAUCUGAGAUAGCCCUUCAGAGGCCAUCACAAAUAGAAGCCAGGCAGUGGGCAUCUUCUUCCUGCGUCUAGUCACUGGUGCAGGCUGUUCCUGGAGAGUGGGCAUCACCUGGGCUAUGUGUCCCCUUUCCUUAGAGAGUCUCAGCUGUGAGCCUUCAGCAGCUGGUACCGCCCGCAGUGGGAGAAGGAGUAGCUACAUCCUGAUGAGGUUUCCUGGGUGCUGC